GUGUUGUGGCAGGGAGACAAUUGCGAAAUACCCUUUCUGACGAUCUGGAGACUCCAAAUUUCCAAAAUUUUCUCAAUUUCCCAUUAUAUUUAUUUUAUUUAUUUAUUUAUUUAGCUUUGCCAACUAGGGCAGGGUCACCACAACAGCAUAUGCCAAUUACUGUGGGCCCUUUUUACCUAACCCACCCUGUCAACUUUCCCUGUGGGAGGAAACCGGAGUACCCGGGGAAAACCCACGGCUUUCGGCAGAGCGUUGACUUUUACUCUUUUCACGUGGGGACUGGGUUCGAGUCGCACUGAGAAGGUACCUAGUGAGACUCGAACCUGCAGCCUCAGAGGUGAAAGGCAAGUGCGCUAACCACUUGGCCACCGA
This is a non-coding RNA of Paramuricea clavata, 372 nucleotides long. NCBI's taxonomy places the organism in Eukaryota, Metazoa, Cnidaria, Anthozoa, Malacalcyonacea, Plexauridae. The record is from the annotation of a GenBank genome assembly.